AHUUAACCAUGCGGAAACCUUGAUAGGGACUUCUGAGUGCCCGUAAAAUCGGGCUGUCCAUCAGUUUAAAUAGCUGGUGAAGAAAGGGCCGGGCAAGACCGGUGCCAGCCGCCGCGGUAAUACCGGCGGCUCGAGUGGUGGCCACUAUUACUGGGCUUAAAGCGUUCGUAGCUGGCUUGUUAAGUCUCUGGGGAAAUCUUCCGGCUCAACCGGAAGGCGUCUCAGGGAUACUGGCAGGCUAGGGACCGGGAGAGGUGAGAGGUACKCCAGGGGUAGGA
RNAcentral lists this ribosomal RNA (278 nucleotides) under uncultured archaeon. RNAcentral's name for it is "partial 16S ribosomal RNA". It matches the Rfam family "Archaeal small subunit ribosomal RNA", at positions 347 to 631 of the family's 1478-position model. The record is from RNAcentral.